This 72-nucleotide transfer RNA is filed under the name Chloroflexota bacterium. RNAcentral describes it as "tRNA-Thr". It matches the Rfam family "tRNA". Rfam says of the family: Transfer RNA (tRNA) molecules are approximately 80 nucleotides in length. The record is from RNAcentral. Lineage: Bacteria; Bacillati; Chloroflexota.
GCCACCAUAGCUCAACGGUAGAGCAACCGCCUUGUAAGCGGUAGGUUAUGAGUUCGAAUCUCAUUGGUGGCU